CAGCAGCCGCGGAAAUACGAAGGGUGCAAGCGUUAAUCGGAAUUACUGGGCGUAAAGCGUGCGUAGGCGGUUUGUUAAGUCUGCUGUGAAAUCCCCGGGCUCAACCUGGGAAUGGCAGUGGAUACUGGCAAGCUAGAGUGUGUCAGAGGAUGGUGGAAUUCCCGGUGUAGCGGUGAAAUGCGUAGAGAUCGGGAGGAACAUCAGUGGCGAAGGCGGCCAUCUGGGACAACACUGACGCUGAGGCACGAAAGCGUGGGGAGCAAACAGGAUUAGAUACCCCUGUAGUCCCUGUCUCUUAUAC
Molecule: ribosomal RNA, 301 nt
Filed under: uncultured bacterium
Lineage: Bacteria
Description: partial 16S ribosomal RNA
Rfam family: Bacterial small subunit ribosomal RNA
Source: RNAcentral